UAGCCAUUCUCUGUCCUUCAUCUCCCAGCAGGAAGUACUCAGAGGGACACUACCUUUAAACAUGGAGACUUCCAUUUAGCUAUCAUAGUGAGCAGCCAUGGAUAGAUCUAUACUGCAGGAAUUCUCUAGUCCAGUGAUUCUCAAACAUUCUUUUUCUGUAACCUGCUUGACAGUUGCUGAGGAGAUGCCGUGACUUGUAGUCUGAGUCCCCUAUGUGACGAUGGAUGCUCCAAACAUCUGCCUCUACUGCUGCUGCCACCUCUUCUCCUGCCCCAGUAUCUCUAGCGUCAGGUGUGAUGGGUUUGAACGAGGAUCCCCAUGAGUUCGCUGAUCCUCUGGUUGCUGGUUUUAGGAUGAAACUACAGACCUCAGCUGGGGCACCAGCACCUCCUGUGACUACAGAAAGCCAGUCCCAUGCCACUGACUGCUAGAUCAACUGCAUCUCUUCAGUUUGGGUAGUUUGCUGUUUAAGGAGGCCACAGCAGCCUCUGUGCUCCUGGGUUACCUGUUCACUGACCUCCCCAGUGGAUAGAUACCAACUUGCCUUCUAUCCCAGGUACUUUCCCUGACUGCCUGAGUUCCUGGCUUGAUUGUUUCCUUAACUGGUCAGCGUUUUAUAUAUUAAAUACACUUCGAUUCAUACAUUUUAUAAUAGUGGAUGUAAAGGUAUGUAAUUGUGUGUUGCAUAAACAUUGUGCCCCCAGUCCUACUUAGCUAACCAUAUGCAUUGCACUUUCAACAGAGUUGUAAAUGGGAAAUAAUGCUGUGAAAUUACAAAAUUUGCUGCUUUGAAAUUGCCUUUGUGCAUGCAUUCUCUGUCUUAUGUUGUUCCACUUGGCCUAGAAUUAUAUUUUCAGAAUGAUUAUGAACUUUGUAUUAUGUCUUUUCAGAAUGAAAGCUUUUUAAUUCACUGAUGUUUAAGCACUUGCAAGAUGAGGGCUCUUAAAGUGUUAUUAUCCUAAUGCUUUCAUGAAUAACUAUUAUACAUUGCCAGAUAUCUUGGGGGUGGAGAGAGGGGGAGGAACUGCAUCUGUGAGCUUUCAUACUGUAGAACACUGUAGGAUCCCACCAUUCUUACUGAUUCUGUUCCUUAAACCAGCCUGUCAUGUGGAAAUGUACCUGGUGAAGCUUUAACCAUCACUUAUCUCCACUUGAGGACUUCAUUGGCUUAAAUUCUGUGUGGUGGGAUUCUGUUAAAGGCACAGAAGCAAACCCAGUACAAACAAAAAAGGUGGCAAUUUCCUAGCCAGGGUGGCCAGCUGGCCAAGAAAAAGCAACACUUUUGAUCCUAUGCCUCAAAUUAUGCCUCUGAUCUGCAGACAACUGCAGGUGACACUUUUCAUGCUAUGAUAAUCACCUGCUAAUACUUGCAGAUCAAGCUGCUAUUAAGGCAGAGGAACAAUAGCCCUUACAAAGUUGACAAUUCCACUCCCAGCUGUUCUCUCCCUCUGUACAGAAGCGAGCUCAGAAUGAAGAGAGAUCUUUUGAGCAUUUAGGGAUGUGCUACUUAUUAAAUGCUCUGUGGAAGAUUACAGCAAUAUCUGGCAGCAUUCCUAUUUAAAUGCAAUAACUCAGCAGCACACCGUCCCCUGUCUUGCCACUGUGAUUUAUUGCUUUGGAUUGUGAUCAUGCCAUGUUUUGAAAAGCUUGAAUUUGGUCAGGGCAUGGAUGGAAGACCUCCAAGGAAAACAGAGGAGCUGCAGAGAGUGAGAUUGGUGUUAAUGACCAUGUGAAGCUGGAAGAAGGCACCGUCAGUGGGGUAAUUCUGCUUUGACCCUGGCUUAAAAACUUCUGCACUUGUAAUGGGAGCUGGUUUUAAAAAUGUAUGUGAUUAAUCAUAAAAACUUGAUC
Molecule: long non-coding RNA, 1851 nt
Organism: Rhineura floridana
Lineage: Eukaryota; Metazoa; Chordata; Lepidosauria; Squamata; Rhineuridae
Exons: 3
Source: RefSeq, a predicted model, not a curated record